Molecule: ribosomal RNA, 774 nt
Filed under: uncultured Neocallimastigales
Lineage: Eukaryota; Fungi; Neocallimastigomycota; Neocallimastigomycetes; Neocallimastigales
Description: partial large subunit ribosomal RNA
Rfam family: Eukaryotic large subunit ribosomal RNA
Source: RNAcentral
GAGAGAGACAUGCGCGCAUAUCAAUAAGCGGAGGAAAAGAAACUAACUAGGAUUCCCUCAGUAACGGCGAGUGAAGCGGGAAGAGCUCAAAUUUGAAAUCUUCAAGGUUCUACCUUGACGAAUUGUAGUUUAAAGAAGUGUUUUCUGUUGGAGUUUUGGUAAAAGUUCUUUGGAAUAGGACAUCAUAGAGGGUGAGAAUCCCGUAUUUGACCAUUACUUUCCAACUUUGUGAUACACUUUCAAAGAGUCGGAUUGUUUGGGAAUGCAGUCCAAAAUGGGUGGUAAAUUUCAUCUAAAGCUAAAUAUUGGCGAGAGACCGAUAGCGAACAAGUACCGUGAGGGAAAGAUGAAAAGAACUUUGAAAAGAGAGUUAAACAGUACGUGAAAUUGUCAAAAGGGAAGCGUUUGACACCAGUGUUGUUUUCUCGAAAAUCAAUUAAAAAAGGCAGGAUUUUGUGUUGUAUUGACUUUAUCAGCUUUCUGCACUCUUUUCUUGUCUUUUUUAAUGCACUUUUCGUUUAACAAGUCAACAUCAAUUUCUUUUGUUGUAAAAGGGUCAUUGGAAGGUGGCUUUCUUUUCGGAGAAAGUGUUUAUAGCCUUUGGCCUCUGCAAUCGGAGAGAUUGAGGUCUGCAGCGUAGAUCCUUCGGGGUUAGAUACAUUUGUGCUAAGUUAUAGCCUUUCAUAGACAACUUGUUGACUAUGAUCAGUCAUGUAGCUUACUCGCUUAUGCUAUUUUACCUACGCUUAGGAUGUUGAUGUGAUACUGCGAGCA